This 298-nucleotide ribosomal RNA is filed under the name uncultured bacterium. RNAcentral's name for it is "partial 16S ribosomal RNA". It matches the Rfam family "Bacterial small subunit ribosomal RNA", at positions 480 to 776 of the family's 1533-position model. The record is from RNAcentral.
CUAUGCGCCUUGCCCAGCCCGCUCAGGUGUGCCAGCAGCCGCGGUAAUACAGAGGUCUCAAAGCGUUGUUCGGAAUCACUGGGCGUAAAGCGUGCGUAGGCGGUUUCGUAAGUCGUGUGUGAAAGGCGGGGGCUCAACCCCCGGACUGCACAUGAUACUGCGAGACUAGAGUAAUGGAGGGGAACCGGAAUUCUCGGUGUAGCAGUGAAAUGCGUAGAUAUCGAGAGGAACACUCGUGGCGAAGGCGGGUUCCUGGACAUUAACUGACGCUGAGCACGAAGGCCAGGGAGCGAAAGGG